UGCGACCUCUAGCUUACUUGGGAUACGUGCAAGAUUUUCUCGUGACUCGGUCUUCGUUCAGAUUACAAUAGCAUGCUUGUUCAGACAAACGAACGUUUGUUGUUGUUUGAAGAAUGUGAAGGCGAUGGUGGACCGCAGUGAGAAUCGCACCUACAUGCUUUUUGAUAUCCUGCAGAAUGAUGAGAAACGAUGUGCUCAGAUUGCAGUGGAAAGCAUCAUUACCUGGGGAGAAAGUG
Molecule: long non-coding RNA, 236 nt
Organism: Macrobrachium nipponense
Lineage: Eukaryota; Metazoa; Arthropoda; Malacostraca; Decapoda; Palaemonidae
Exons: 3
Source: RefSeq, a predicted model, not a curated record